Molecule: long non-coding RNA, 271 nt
Filed under: Phaseolus vulgaris (common bean)
Lineage: Eukaryota; Viridiplantae; Streptophyta; Magnoliopsida; Fabales; Fabaceae
Description: long non-coding RNA (PVUL_LNC005018)
Source: RNAcentral
AAGGAGUGUGAAAAAUGUAAAAUAAAGUCACAUUGUCCAUGUGACUUAGGAGAGUGGUGUAGGUGUAGUUUUUAGGAGGUGUCAUAGUAGAAAAAGGUCACACCUCCCAUGUGACUUGUUUUUGGUGGGAAUUUCAAAUGAGUUUAUUUGAAUUUUCUCACCUAUUUUUCAGCACCUCUAGGCUAUAAAUUAAGGUGCUGCCCUUGUACAUUUCAGAUUUGAAUUUUAAUUAGAGAAACUAUACUCAAUUUUUGAGAGAGCAUUGGAGAGC